Molecule: ribosomal RNA, 250 nt
Filed under: uncultured bacterium
Lineage: Bacteria
Description: partial 16S ribosomal RNA
Rfam family: Bacterial small subunit ribosomal RNA
Source: RNAcentral
UACAGAGGGGCAAGCGUUAUUCGGAAUUAUGGCGUAAAGGGCGCGUAGGCGGCUGCGAAGUGGAUCGGUGAAAUCCCUCGGCUCAACCGAGGAACGUCGAUCGAUACUGCUGUUCUUGAGGAUUGCAGAGGAGACUGGAAUUCCCGGUGUAGCGGUGAAAUGUGUAGAGAUCGGGAGGAACACCGGUGGCGAAGGCGGGUCUCUGGGCAAUUCCUGACGCUGAGGCGCGAAAGCGUGGGGAGCAAACGGG